Macaca fascicularis (crab-eating macaque) is the source of this 166-nucleotide unclassified non-coding RNA. It matches the Rfam family "Metazoan signal recognition particle RNA". Rfam says of the family: The signal recognition particle (SRP) is a universally conserved ribonucleoprotein. It is involved in the co-translational targeting of proteins to membranes. The record is from Ensembl. NCBI's taxonomy places the organism in Eukaryota, Metazoa, Chordata, Mammalia, Primates, Cercopithecidae.
GCUGGGCAUGGUGGCGCAUGCCUGUAGUCCUAGCUACUCGGGAGGCUGAGGUGGGAGGAUCGCUUGAGCCCAGGAGUUCAAGACUGCAGCGUACUACAGUUGUGCCUCUGAAUAGCCACUGCCUACCCAAGUCUAGCCUGGGUAACAGAGCUAGACCCCGUCUCAA